This 419-nucleotide ribosomal RNA is filed under the name uncultured Anoxybacillus sp. RNAcentral describes it as "bacterial SSU rRNA". It matches the Rfam family "Bacterial small subunit ribosomal RNA", at positions 963 to 1382 of the family's 1533-position model. The record is from RNAcentral. Lineage: Bacteria; Bacillati; Bacillota; Bacilli; Caryophanales; Anoxybacillaceae.
CGAGAACCUUACCAGGUCUUGACAUCCCCUGACAACCCGAGAGAUCGGGCGUUCCCCUUCGGGGGACAGGGUGACAGGUGUGCAUGGUUGUCGUCAGCUCGUGUCGUGAGAUGUUGGGGUUAAGUCCCGCAACGAGCGCAACCCUCGACCUUAGUUGUCAGCAUUCAGUUGGGCACUCUAAGGUGACUGCCGGCUAAAAGUCGGAGGAAGUGGGGAUGACGUCAAAUCAUCAUGCCCCUUAUGACCUGGGCUACACACGCGCUACAAUGGGCGGUACAAAGGGUCGCGAACCCGCGAGGGGGAGCCAAUCCCAAAAAGCCGCUCUCAGUUCGGAUUGCAGGCUGCAACUCGCCUGCAUGAAGCCGGAAUCGCUAGUAAUCGCGGAUCAGCAUGCCGCGGUGAAUACGUUCCCGGGCCUU